AUUGAACGCUGGCGGCAGGCCUAACACAUGCAAGUCGAGCGGAUGAAGGGAGCUUGCUCCUGGAUUCAGCGGCGGACGGGUGAGUAAUGCCUAGGAAUCUGCCUGGUAGUGGGGGAUAACGUCCGGAAACGGGCGCUAAUACCGCAUACGUCCUGAGGGAGAAAGUGGGGGAUCUUCGGACCUCACGCUAUCAGAUGAGCCUAGGUCGGAUUAGCUAGUUGGUGGGGUAAAGGCCUACCAAGGCGACGAUCCGUAACUGGUCUGAGAGGAUGAUCAGUCACACUGGAACUGAGACACGGUCCAGACUCCUACGGGAGGCAGCAGUGGGGAAUAUUGGACAAUGGGCGCAAGCCUGAUCCAGCCAUGCCGCGUGUGUGAAGAAGGUCUUCGGGUUGUAAAGCCCUUUUAGUUGGGAGGAAGAGCAGUAAGUUAAUACCUCGCUGUUUUGACGUUACCAACAGAAUAAGCACCGGCUAACUUCGUG
This 484-nucleotide ribosomal RNA is filed under the name uncultured bacterium. RNAcentral describes it as "partial 16S ribosomal RNA". It matches the Rfam family "Bacterial small subunit ribosomal RNA", at positions 30 to 507 of the family's 1533-position model. The record is from RNAcentral.